Molecule: long non-coding RNA, 567 nt
Organism: Hibiscus syriacus
Lineage: Eukaryota; Viridiplantae; Streptophyta; Magnoliopsida; Malvales; Malvaceae
Exons: 3
Source: RefSeq, a predicted model, not a curated record
GUUCAUUUGAUUUUCUUUUGUGGGGUUUAAAAUUGAAACCGUCAAAGAUUGAGAAAUGAUCGCACGAAUGCUACGAACUCCAGUUCUCUCUCUCUAAAUCUCGGCUGCCUUUUUGCUCGCUUCAAAUCCUUUCCGGCUCUCAUGGACGUUCCGGUACUCAAGUGACUGAGAUUUUUCGUGAUCGUAUAGGAAUAUCAUCAAAUACGAUCUCUAUUUAUGAAUUUAGAACGUAUUGCACUAGCACUGAUAGAGGUGCGUUGUAAACAAUGACCAUAGACCAUCAUCGUAUAAUGUUGAUAGUAUGAAGCAAAACCACAUUACUAUUGAUCUGUUUCUUUCUGAAUCUAGACUGUGUUUUUUGUUCGUUAUCAUGGCAGUUUACCAUUUUGGAAAAGAUUUAAGACCUUCCCUUUUGAACAUUUUUUGCAAGAGGCAAACCAAAUGCAUUUUUAGUUUAUAAUAUUCUCGAGAAUGGAUUUUAGCAUUUUUUUGUGGAAUGGUGAUUGAAAAGGUCUUAGAAUGGACUGCUUUUUAAUCACUCUUACAUUGGAAGUUGAGAGAAAAUUA